Molecule: ribosomal RNA, 253 nt
Filed under: uncultured bacterium
Lineage: Bacteria
Description: partial 16S ribosomal RNA
Rfam family: Bacterial small subunit ribosomal RNA
Source: RNAcentral
UACGGGGGGUGCGAGCGUUGAUCGGAAUAACUGGGCGUAAAGGGCACGCAGGCGGACUUUUAAGUGAGGUGUGAAAUCCCCGGGCUUAACCUGGGAAUUGCAUUUGAAACUGGGAAUCUAGAGUACUUUAGGGAGGGGUAGAAUUCCACGUGUAGCGGUGAAAUGCGUAGAGAUGUGGAGGAAUACCGAUGGCGAAGGCAGCCCCUUGGGGAUGUACUGACGCUCAUGUGCGAAAGCGUGGGGAGCAAACAGG